AUUGAACGCUGGCGGCAGGCCUAACACAUGCAAGUCGAACGGUAACAGGAAGAAGCUUGCUUCUUUGCUGACGAGUGGCGGACGGGUGAGUAAUGUCUGGGAAACUGCCUGAUGGAGGGGGAUAACUACUGGAAACGGUAGCUAAUACCGCAUAACGUCGCAAGACCAAAGAGGGGGACCUUCGGGCCUCUUGCCAUCGGAUGUGCCCAGAUGGGAUUAGCUAGUAGGUGGGGUAACGGCUCACCUAGGCGACGAUCCCUAGCUGGUCUGAGAGGAUGACCAGCCACACUGGAACUGAGACACGGUCCAGACCCCUACGGGAGGCAGCAGUGGGGAAUAUUGCACAAUGGGCGCAAGCCUGAUGCUGCCAUGCCGCGUGUAUGAAGAAGGCCUUCGGGUUGUAAAGUACUUUCAGCGGGGAGGAAGGGAGUAAAGUUAAUACCUUUGCUCAUUGACGUUACCCGCAGAAGAAGCACCGGCUAACUCCGUG
Molecule: ribosomal RNA, 490 nt
Filed under: uncultured bacterium
Lineage: Bacteria
Description: partial 16S ribosomal RNA
Rfam family: Bacterial small subunit ribosomal RNA
Source: RNAcentral